This is a non-coding RNA of Ciona savignyi (Pacific transparent sea squirt), 73 nucleotides long. The record is from Rfam. NCBI's taxonomy places the organism in Eukaryota, Metazoa, Chordata, Ascidiacea, Phlebobranchia, Cionidae.
GCCCGGUUAGCUCAGCCGGUAGAGCGUUGGACUUUUAAUCCAACGGUGAAAGGUUCAAGUCCCUUAUCGGGAU